GCAUCAAUUUCUUGCUGGAGAGGUCACCAGAGCUCGAGGUAAGCUCGGCUCCUCUUCCUCCCUUCUCCCCCUUCCUUCUCUUGCCUGUGUGCAUGAUUACUGAUGACCGAGUUCGCCAGAUUUUGUUGGAAAAAAUGUCUCCUAUUUUCCACCCCUCUUUUCUUUGAUUUUUUGACGCCGGUGGUCACCGCCGACCAUCGAUUUGGGUUCUCUGGGCUGCGGUGACAUAGUCCUCUUACCACCGACCACCACCGCACUGGCUGCGGCCUCUGAUCAGCCGAACAAGGGAGGGACCUCAUGGUCCUCUGUUUUGCCCAAAAGAGACCACA
This 329-nucleotide long non-coding RNA is filed under the name Elaeis guineensis (African oil palm). RNAcentral's name for it is "long non-coding RNA (EGUI_LNC080001)". Lineage: Eukaryota; Viridiplantae; Streptophyta; Magnoliopsida; Arecales; Arecaceae. The record is from RNAcentral.